This 253-nucleotide ribosomal RNA is filed under the name uncultured bacterium. RNAcentral's name for it is "partial 16S ribosomal RNA". It matches the Rfam family "Bacterial small subunit ribosomal RNA", at positions 524 to 776 of the family's 1533-position model. The record is from RNAcentral.
UACGUAGGGGGCAAGCGUUGUCCGGAUUUAUUGGGCGUAAGGAGCGUGUAGGCGGCCAUACAGGUCCGUUGUGAAAACUGGAGGCUCAACCUCCAGACGUCGACGGAAACCGUAUGGCUAGAGUCCGGAAGAGGAGAGUGGAAUUCCUGGUGUAGCGGUGAAAUGCGCAGAUAUCAGGAAGAACACCCGUGGCGAAGGCGGCUCUCUGGGACGGUACUGACGCUGAGACGCGAAAGCGUGGGGAGCGAACAGG